UGAAAAACGAAAAACAUACAUUAUUAAGAGCGUUAAACGCUUGUACAAUACAAGCUCUCAUGAAAUUACAAACUUAAUUACACUAUGACUACAUAAAGUAAAUCAACAGUGUAUAUUUUUCCAAAAGACAAAGUCAUGAGGAUGAUCUUCAUUUUAAAAAAGGACAAUACAUCAUCGCUAAUACUGAGCGGAAUUAAUAUAAUUAAGGUACGGAAGCUGGAGCAAACCUAGGGACAGGCCAGCCAUUGGCUUGGACCACUCCUCUACCUUUCAACUGUUGACAUCCAGCUCUGCAAGCAAUUCUGCAAACAUUAAGUUUGACAUUCCUUAUGGCCAUACACAUGGGCAUGCAAUCGAUCUGACAUUUGAUAAACGACCAUCUGGGUUUAGCGGCAUUCCCUUUCACUCUCCCCACCAUAUUUGAAAACAAACUUAGCACUAAAAUCAACGUAAAUGUCAAGCUUCCACCAUUUCCUAAAUGGCUCUUUAUUCUCUUAACGUUACUUUCCAUUACAGCAAUAGUCUCUCACAUGUCAUGUUGUUGGAAGCCUAUAUCAAUUUGAGCAAUGUUGAGAGAAAUGUGGAGAUGGCUUUCAAAUGGUAGGUCAUUCUUGAAUUUAGA
Molecule: long non-coding RNA, 622 nt
Filed under: Gossypium barbadense (sea-island cotton)
Lineage: Eukaryota; Viridiplantae; Streptophyta; Magnoliopsida; Malvales; Malvaceae
Description: long non-coding RNA (GBAR_LNC009420)
Source: RNAcentral